CAGCCGUAAACAAUGUGCGUUAGGUGUGUCGGUAACCACGCGUUACUGAUGCGCCGAAGAGAAAUCGUGAAACGCACCACCUGGGAAGUACGGUCGCAAGGCUGAAACUUAAAGGAAUUGGCGGGGGAGCACCACAACAGGUGGAGCCUGCGGUUUAAUUGGAUUCAACACCGUAAAACUCACCAGGGAAGACUGUUACAUGAAGGCCGAGAUGAAGACUCUGCUAGAUUUUCAGAGAGGAGGUGCAUGGCGUCAGUGACU
This 261-nucleotide ribosomal RNA is filed under the name uncultured archaeon. RNAcentral's name for it is "partial 16S ribosomal RNA". It matches the Rfam family "Archaeal small subunit ribosomal RNA", at positions 748 to 1008 of the family's 1478-position model. The record is from RNAcentral.